ACAACAGGGAUUGCCCUAGUAACGGCGAGUGAAGCGGCAACAGCUCAAAUUUGAAAUCUGGCCUUUGGUCCGAGUUGUAAUUUGUAGAGGAUGCUUUUGGUGCGGUUCCUUCCGAGUUCCCUGGAACGGGACGCCUUAGAGGGUGAGAGCCCCGUACGGUUGGAUACCUAGCCUCUGUAAAGCUCCUUCGACGAGUCGAGUAGUUUGGGAAUGCUGCUCUAAAUGGGAGGUAAAUUUCUUCUAAAGCUAAAUACCGGCCAGAGACCGAUAGCGCACAAGUAGAGUGAUCGAAAGAUGAAAAGCACUUUGAAAAGAGGGUUAAAUAGCACGUGAAAUUGUUGAAAGGGAAGCGUUUAUGACCAGACUUUUUCUAGGCGGAUCAUCCGGUGUUCUCACCGGUGCACUUCGCCUAGUUUAGGCCAGCAUCGGUUUCCGUAGGGGGAUAAAAGCUUUAGGAAUGUGGCUCCUUCGGGAGUGUUAUAGCCUAUUGUAUAAUACCCUUCUGGGGACCGAGGUUCGCGCUCUGCAAGGAUGCUGGCGUAAUGGUCAUCAACGACCC
RNAcentral lists this ribosomal RNA (559 nucleotides) under uncultured fungus. Its description in RNAcentral is "eukaryotic LSU rRNA". It matches the Rfam family "Eukaryotic large subunit ribosomal RNA", at positions 65 to 650 of the family's 3401-position model. Lineage: Eukaryota; Fungi. The record is from RNAcentral.